Danionella cerebrum is the source of this 75-nucleotide non-coding RNA. Lineage: Eukaryota; Metazoa; Chordata; Actinopteri; Cypriniformes; Danionidae. The record is from the annotation of a GenBank genome assembly.
GCUUUCCUGUGGCUCAGUUGGUAGAGCAUUGCGCUAACAACGCAAAGGUUGUGGGUUAAAAUCCUAGAGAAAGCA